CGGCCUCCCCCCCAUGAAAGGCCUGCCCCCCCCCCAAAUCCUGGCUACGCCCAUGAAGGCUGAUGGGAGAAGAGGAGAGAUGGAAGGAAGGUGUUGUGCUGGGAGGAAGGGACAACUUGAGAGCAGAGUAGGAGGGUUUGCUUGGAUUUGUGGGGGGGGGGGGUGAGGUAGGGGAGUUAACUGUCAUCAGAUUAAGAGCAGCUUUGUGAAAGGGCAGAUUUGGGGACUGUAUACUGCUGACAGGUGCCUCUAAUUUUAAAGGGCUUUAAAAAAAACACACCAGUCCAUUAAGUUCUUAUAAGUAUCUUUAUUAGGUUGCGGCCAACAGCAGUCCUACUCAGAGUAGCCCCCUUGGAAAUGAUAGACAUGGGUCCCACAGGGUCAUUGAUUUCUGAUUACAGGUAGGUAGCCGUGUUGGUCUGCCGUAGUUGAAACAAAAUAAAAAAAAAAUCCUUCCAGUAGUAGCACCUUAGAGACCAACUAAGUUUGUUAUUGGUAUGAGCUUUCGUGCGCAUGCACACUUCUUCAGAUACCUUCUUAUACUUCUUAUCUGAAGAAUAAUCCAGAGAAUGCUCCUCUUUUUCAAGAGACACUGCACAGAGAUAUUCCUCAGCACAUUAACAAAAAAGCAUUGCGAUUACUCAUUUAUUUAUUGGCUGUCCUUCACCCUAAGGUCCCAGAGAGGGCUAGAAACAAUGAGAACACCAUGGUGUUGAUUUUAAAAAAGGGGGAGGUUCAAAAAAGGAAAUAUAAACAUAACCCCCUCAUAAAGAGAAGCUUCCCUCCCCAAGAAUAUAGAGUUCCAGAUUUUCAAAUGUGAGUCCGCUGGUUGCCACUGAGCUGGAUGUUCUGCGGAGCAUGCGAUGAAGGGGUACCAUGUGUGUAUUAAAAUCAUCCUCGUCUCUCUCUCUCUCUCUCCAGCAAAAGCUUUCUCUUCCUUGGUCAGCUUUCCUGAGGGCGCCUAAAGAAUUGAAGUGAUCUCCCUGGGGCACAAGCCUGGGCAGUGUGUUUGGAGAUCCUGGGCUCCUCAGAUAGCAAGACACCCGCAUCCUGUCACCCUCACUGAUGGGGUCCAAAGGAAAGCAGAACAAGAUGUUUGGCCCCAGCAUGGCUUUAGGAGUUGCUGGAAGGAGGCGGACAAGGUGCCACCCAACUGUCUUAAGGACUCCACUCUGGAUUUGUGUAGGAUUUACUCCUGAGCCGAAUGGAGAAUGAAACUGAUGGACUAUGCAGAAUUAGAUAAACUAACAGGAAGGAUUCGAAACCUGCGGGACCAGAGAUUCUCAGAAGACUGGAGUAAAUUUACGGACUAUUUGAAAAGUAACUGUGAUGAACAGAUUAUGCUAGUAGGUCUGCAAGAAGUUUUGUAAGGUGAAUUAUUUGAAAUAUUGCAAAAAAGACAAUGAGGAGAAUUAUUAGUUAAAGAUAAUUAAAGGUAAUAUGAAAUUAAGAAAUGCAUAAUAAAUGAUAAGAACGAAAAAUCAUCAGGGGUGUUGACGGAAG
Podarcis lilfordi (Lilford's wall lizard) is the source of this 1503-nucleotide non-coding RNA. The record is from the annotation of a GenBank genome assembly. Lineage: Eukaryota; Metazoa; Chordata; Lepidosauria; Squamata; Lacertidae.